RNAcentral lists this ribosomal RNA (442 nucleotides) under uncultured bacterium. RNAcentral's name for it is "SSU rRNA". It matches the Rfam family "Bacterial small subunit ribosomal RNA", at positions 26 to 518 of the family's 1533-position model. The record is from RNAcentral.
AGAGCGAACGCUGGCGGCAGGCCUAACACAUGCAAGUCGAGCGCCCCGCAAGGGGAGCGGCAGACGGGAGAGUAACACGUGGGAACGUACCCUUCAGUUCGGAACAACCCAGGGAAACUUGGGCUAAUACCGGAUACGUCCGUAAGGAGAAAGAUUUAUCGCUGAAGGAUCGGCCCGCGUCUGAUUAGCUAGUUGGUGGGGUAACGGCUCACCAAGGCGACGAUCAGUAGCUGGUCUGAGAGGAUGAUCAGCCUCACUGGGACUGAGACACGGCCCAGACUCCUACGGGAGGCAGCAGUGGGGAAUAUUGGACAAUGGGCGCAAGCCUGAUCCAGCCAUGCCGCGUGGGUGAUGAAGGCCCUAGGGUUGUAAAGCCCGUUUCGGCGGGGAAGAUAAUGACGGUACCGCAGAAGAGCCCGGCUAACUUCGUGCCAGCAGCCGC